CCUACGGGAGGCAGCAGUCGAGAAUCAUUGACAAUGGAGGCAACUCUGAUGGUGCGACGCCGCGUGGGGGAAUGAAGGUCUUCGGAUUGUAAACUCCUGUCAUGUGGGAGCAAACUCAAAAGAUAGUACCACAAUAGGAAGAGACUGCAAACUCUGUGCCAGCAGCCGCGGUAAUACAGAGGACUCAAGCGUUAUUCGUAAUCACUGGGCGUAAAGCGUGCGUAGGCUGUUUCGUAAGGCGUGUGUGAAAAGCGGUGGCUCAACUCGCGGACGGCAUAUGAUACUGCGAGACUAGAGAAAUGGAGGGGGAAACGGAAUGCUCGGUGUAGCAGUGAAAUGCGUAGAGAUCGAGAAGAACACUCGUGGCGAAGGCGGGUUCCUGGACAUUAACUGACGCUGAGGCACGAAGGCGAGGGGAGCGAAAGGGAUUAGAUACCCCAGUAGUC
RNAcentral lists this ribosomal RNA (446 nucleotides) under uncultured bacterium. Its description in RNAcentral is "partial 16S ribosomal RNA". It matches the Rfam family "Bacterial small subunit ribosomal RNA", at positions 338 to 795 of the family's 1533-position model. The record is from RNAcentral.